GUGCCAGCCGCCGCGGUAAGACAGAGGGUGCAAACGUUGUUCGGAAUUACUGGGCGUAAAGCGCGUGUAGGCGGCUACGUAAGUCGGACGUGAAAUCCCACGGCUCAACUGUGGAAGUGCGCUCGAAACUGUGUAGCUUGAGUCCUGGAGAGGAAAGCGGAAUACUUGGUGUAGAGGUGAAAUUCGUAGAUAUCAGGUAGAACACCAGUGGCGAAGGCGGCUUUCUGGACAGUGACUGACGCUGAGACGCGAAAGCGUGGGGAGCAAACAGGAUUAGAAACCCUCGUAGUCC
RNAcentral lists this ribosomal RNA (292 nucleotides) under uncultured bacterium. RNAcentral describes it as "partial 16S ribosomal RNA". It matches the Rfam family "Bacterial small subunit ribosomal RNA", at positions 505 to 796 of the family's 1533-position model. The record is from RNAcentral.